RNAcentral lists this ribosomal RNA (468 nucleotides) under uncultured bacterium. Its description in RNAcentral is "partial 16S ribosomal RNA". It matches the Rfam family "Bacterial small subunit ribosomal RNA", at positions 28 to 507 of the family's 1533-position model. The record is from RNAcentral.
GACGAACGCUGGCGGCGUGCUUAACACAUGCAAGUCGAACGGAAAGGCCCUGCUUUUGUGGGGUGCUCGAGUGGCGAACGGGUGAGUAACACGUGAGUAACCUGCCCUUGACUUUGGGAUAACUUCAGGAAACUGGGGCUAAUACCGGAUAGGAGCUCCUGCUGCAUGGUGGGGGUUGGAAAGUUUCGGCGGUUGGGGAUGGACUCGCGGCUUAUCAGCUUGUUGGUGGGGUAGUGGCUUACCAAGGCUUUGACGGGUAGCCGGCCUGAGAGGGUGACCGGCCACAAUGGGACUGAGAUACGGCCCAGACUCCUACGGGACGCAGCAGUGGGGAGUAUUGCACAAUGGGCGGAAGCCUGAUGCAGCAACGCCGCGUGCGGGAUGACGGCCUUCGGGUUGUAAACCGCUUUCGCCUGUGACGAAGCGUGAGUGACGGUAAUGGGUAAAGAAGCACCGGCUAACUACGUG